GACGAACGCUGGCGGCGUGCUUAACACAUGCAAGUCGAACGGAAAGGCCCUGCUUUUGUGGGGUGCUCGAGUGGCGAACGGGUGAGUAACACGUGAGUAACCUGCCCUUGACUUUGGGAUAACUUCAGGAAACUGGGGCUAAUACCGGAUAGGAGCUCCUGCUGCAUGGUGGGGGUUGGAAAGUUUCGGCGGUUGGGGAUGGACUCGCGGCUUAUCAGCUUGUUGGUGGGGUAGUGGCUUACCAAGGCUUUGACGGGUAGCCGGCCUGAGAGGGUGACCGGCCACAUUGGGACUGAGAUACGGCCCAGACUCAUACGGGAGGCAGCAGUGGGGAAUAUUGCACAAUGAGCGGAAGCCUGAUGCAGCAACGCCGCGUGCGGGAUGACGGCCUUCGGGUUGUAAACCGCUUUCGCCUGUGACGAAGCGUGAGUGACGGUAAUGAGUAAAGAAGCACCGGCUAACUACGUG
This 468-nucleotide ribosomal RNA is filed under the name uncultured bacterium. Its description in RNAcentral is "partial 16S ribosomal RNA". It matches the Rfam family "Bacterial small subunit ribosomal RNA", at positions 28 to 507 of the family's 1533-position model. The record is from RNAcentral.